Poecilia latipinna (sailfin molly) is the source of this 199-nucleotide long non-coding RNA. RefSeq lists it as uncharacterized. The transcript is spliced from 2 exons. Lineage: Eukaryota; Metazoa; Chordata; Actinopteri; Cyprinodontiformes; Poeciliidae. The record is from RefSeq and is a predicted model, not a curated record.
ACAGCAGAGCUGAGUUUGUGUUUGUUUGUCUUUACCUUCAGAGGAUGCAUACAAAGUUGCACAUAGUGGCUUGAAAAAGGCUCCGCCUCCCUUACCUUUGCCAUGGCUUUACUGGCGCGCUCUUUGUGACGGCCUGGAGUUUUGGAUGAAUUCAGGACAGAGCUUCUACCAUCAGUGGUGGAGAUGCUGGAGCUGCAGG